UUGAGCGAGGCCACCGCAAGGGUGAGUCGAGCGGCGAACGGGUGAGUAACGCGUGGAUAACCUGCCCUUUAGUGGGGAAUAACCCGGGGAAACUCGGGCUAAUACCGCAUAAGACCGAGAGGUGAAAGCGGGGUCGCAAGAUCUCGUGCUAAUGGAGGGGUCCGCGUUCGAUUAGCUAGUUGGCAGGGUAAUGGCUACCAAGGCGACGAUCGAUAGCCGGCCUGAGAGGGUGAUCGGCCACACUGGAACUGAGACACGGUCCAGACUCCUACGGGAGGCAGCAGUCGAGAAUUUUGCGCAAUGGGGUAACGCCUGAUCGCAGGAACGCCGCGUGGAGGAUGAAGGUCUUCGGAUUGUAAACUCCUGUCAUUGGGGAACAAGGUGCAUACGUUAACUGCGUGUCCAUUGAUAGUACCCGAAGAGGAAGAGCCGUCUAACUCUGUGCCACCAGCCGCGGUAAUACAGAGGUCUCAAGCGUUGUUCGGAUUCAUUGGCCGUAAAGGGUGCGUAGGCGGCGCGGUAAGUCGGGUGUGAAAUCUCGGAGCUUAACUCCGAAACUGCACCCGAUACUCCCGUGCUUGAGGACUGGAGAGGAGACUGGAAUUUACGGUGUAGCGGUGAAAUGCGUAGAUAUCGUAAGGAAGACCAGUGCCGAAGGCGGUCUCUGGACAUUCCUGACGCUGAGCACGGAGCCAGGG
RNAcentral lists this ribosomal RNA (698 nucleotides) under uncultivated soil bacterium clone C118. Its description in RNAcentral is "bacterial SSU rRNA". It matches the Rfam family "Bacterial small subunit ribosomal RNA", at positions 62 to 765 of the family's 1533-position model. The record is from RNAcentral.